Long non-coding RNA from Gasterosteus aculeatus aculeatus (three-spined stickleback), 3388 nucleotides. The record is from Ensembl. NCBI's taxonomy places the organism in Eukaryota, Metazoa, Chordata, Actinopteri, Perciformes, Gasterosteidae.
CUUGUGUGGCAAGAAAGUACAAAUACUCACUCAGCGCAUUAAUGUUGCCAGCAAUACAAAUGGGAAUAUCAAUGUUAGAAGCAGUAGGCGUCCGCGGCGGCAGGCAGGAGUCAGGACCAGACGGAACUACGAUCUGCAGACACCUGCGAGGCGAGAAAGCACAAAAAAACUCCGGGAAAGAAGCUGAAUUAGUGAUGUGCAUUAAUAAAACGUGGAUUAUUGUAGAAGGAGAGCGUGAGAGAGGAGCUCGGUGUGUCCUAAGAAGUCCCCCGGCAGUCUAAGCCUGUAGCAGCUUAACUAAGGGCCGGUCCAGUUUAACCUGAGCCAGCCCUAACUAUGGGCAGAAUCAAAGAGGAACGUUUUAAGCUUUAUCUUAAAUGAGCUGACCGAAUCUGCCCCCCGGACUGAAAGUGGAAGCUGGUUCCAGUUGUCUCUGGCUCCCAUCCUACUUUUUAAAAUUCUAGGAGCCACAAGUGACCCAGCAUCUAUGCAGCGCAGCUGGUUAGGCCUGCAACUGUCUGCAGGUGGAGGAGGAACCUGCAGUCUACUGGCAGAGGGUGGAGAUGGAGGUUUGUCCUACAGCUGACUGCCAAUUGAUCAACUAGGCUUGAAUCCUGCUUUGUAAGUUUCUUAUGAGUAAUGUUGUGCCAGUGAACACCGCCGGCACCUUGCAGUCGAUUGUCUGCACUGACAUGACAAGUGAGGAAACCUUCCCUUCAUGUACCGUAAAGAUCAUUUUACCGCUUACCAGCAAGCUGCUUCGUUACUUCCUCACUAAAUACUCAAAUCUUGACGUUAAGGCAAUGAGUUUUUGAUCUCUUGCUGUGCAGUCAUCCUUGACUGUAAAAUGGAAAAAUAACUCUCCGUGUACACAAGGGGGAGCUCCACUAACUGUGGACGGAACACAGAGGCAUGCUGGGAAACCACAGGGGAAGAUGGGACAACAUGGGAGAAAGACAAAUUCACACUAUGAGAGGAUUUGUGUAUCAGCAAAAAUAACUAAGAUAUUGUUACAGACAGCCGCGACAUAAUUUAAUUUUUAAUUUUUUUCUCUUGACUAAAUAAAUUCUGUUGGAGUGGAAUACGAAUGGGUUAUUGUUAUUGUAAAAGAUGUUGUUACGGAACGUGACAAUGCAAAGGCAAUACUUACAUGAACUGAUUACUUGGCAAUAAAAGUUAUAGUCGUGAGUUGUUGUAUACAUGUUUAUGUAUAUUUAACUUGAAAGGGGUAAUUCAUUCUACUUAGAAUAAAGAAAAUAAAUACUUCAUGUGGGCUGAUGAUUUUUGUUAAAGAUGACUAAUUCAGACUUGAAUAUACUGCAUCCAUUAAAGGUUCUACGUCAACACAACUUGACUUGUUUAGUUCCUGGUGAACACUAAACGGUUUCUAGGCAACAAAUGUCGGGCAAACGUUAACGUUGUGUAGCCUGUGUGACCCCUUCUUACUUAUUCAGUAAGAAUUGGGUUCGCUUUCAGUUGAAUGUUUGUGACGGACUUGAGAUGUUUAUCCAUAUAAUUCCCUUCAUGAACGUCACUGAUGCCUUUUUUGAUGGAGCUCAGAAUUGGGUGGAGGAGUUCAGCAGGUUCCCUCCGGGUGUCAGGGGCCUCCUGAGCAAUGCGUCCUGGUCCAUGACGCCACUGGUUCAAAGGAUUCAGCUUCUUCAGCUAGUGGAGCACACAAUGAGGGAUGUAUGGCUCAACCCUGCAUGGACAUCCUAAAUAUCCCAUUAAGGCCUUAAAACUACAUAUUGGUUCGAGGGCUCGGAUAAUAAAACCGGGCAAAACAAAGUUACAAUUGUUAAAAUGACCACAUUGACACACAAUCUGAGGGACUAGGUUGGCCGGCCUUCGAUACCACGACUUCAAUCCUCAUAGUAUUGAUCACACAUAUUUAGCUGACGCUUUUAUCCAAAGCGACUUCCAUUUCAUUUUUAACAUUUAUUUAGAUGCAACUCGACAAAGACGUAUCACGUUACCGGUGCAACGGUCCAUGCGGCUUUAGUGCAGGUCGGACAUGAACAUUCACAAACGUGUUGGACUGAGCAGACAAGCCACCGUGACACCGACUACACGCGCAUGGACCCACGUGUGCUGCUCCUCAGCACCACACGGGACGGGGGACGGGGGACAGGGGACGGGCAUCGCCGACGCAACGCUUCAUCAAGCUGCCAGAGACAGAGGAGGGUCCGGCCGGAAGUGAGAUGAGCAUCCUUUCAGAGUUAAAGCGCGUUCCUAAUCACCCAGAGAAGUUAAGAAGGAAGAAGCAUUGUACUCACAGAGGCUUCUUUGCUGAUAGGAAUCGGUAGAGCAGCCAUUUCAAAGCCAGUUAAAUUCAAAUCAAGAUCAGGGCCGUUGUUUUUCUAUGAGCGGAAGUGUCAUUAUUUUUCCUUUCCUAACUUUAACUGUAAUUCAUCACUUUGUCGUCACUCGUCACUUUGUUACUUGUUUGUUAAUUGUUCGUUAGUGCACUAAUAUUUUUCUUUUUAACUUUUUUUUAACUUUAUUCCCUUGUUUUAUACUAACCCAUAGCCUUAUUCUACUAACCCAUUGCAUUAGCAUUUUAUUUUACUUUAUUUUAUUACUUGUGCACUGCUGUCUUGUCUACUGUCGCGCACUAACGGCCAACUAAUGUUUCCUGAUUCCUGAUUCCUGAUUAAUGUCACCCUGGUUGGAGCUGUGACACAAACCUGUCGUGUUUCAUAGUAUCAUAGCACGUUCGGUUGCCACGCGUUUUACUCUGAAAGGUACCGGCGGAAGCCGCGUGUCUGCGUGUGACUUGCCCAUGCCCGCAAGUUGCGCGUCCGGCAGGCUGACGGGUUGUCCGCCGCCCGGAGCCUGAAGACACUUCGCCUCCUGCGACACCACCGCCGUCCCGAUCUCCGCCUCCCUCCCCGCCGCGGACGCUUGGGGGAACCGGGACCGGGGGCUCGGCGAAGACCGGCACCGUCUGUCGAGAACAACAGAUGUUGCAUCUCCGUAGGAGCGCAUAGGUAGCGCAGGAGCAGGAGCCCCCCCCCCCCUCAGAAGGUGGAAGCUUGAAGAGAGAUUUGGGGAAAUUCCUGUUGAAGAUGGAGUCAUUGGUCUUCUGGAGGGCUGUCUUCAUCUUCCUUUCACUUCCCUCGAUCCAGAGUCAGCCCCAGAGAGCAGUGUUCCUGCCCGAGUUCGCCCUCUCCCCUCAGGGCAGCUUCAUGGAGGACGCUACAGAAGAUCAGCUUCUGACCUACAAGUAUGACGACCAGGUCAGUGGUUCUGCCGGGGAGGAGUGCUUCCUCCUACGGUCCAUGCUAUCAUGGGGGGGGGGGUCAAACCCCUCACAAACAGUUUCCCUAUCGUAGUCCAUGUCGAUGGAAACACACACACACACAACAAACUGGAGCGUAGCCAAAAG